This 305-nucleotide ribosomal RNA is filed under the name uncultured bacterium. Its description in RNAcentral is "bacterial SSU rRNA". It matches the Rfam family "Bacterial small subunit ribosomal RNA", at positions 335 to 656 of the family's 1533-position model. The record is from RNAcentral.
AUACCUACGGGAGGCAGCAGUGGGGAAUAUUGGGCAAUGGGCGCAAGCCUGACCCAGCAACGCCGCGUGAAGGAAGAAGGCUUUCGGGUUGUAAACUUCUUUUAAGGGGGAAGAGCAGAAGACGGUACCCCUUGAAUAAGCCACGGCUAACUCCGUGCCAGCAGCCGCGGUAAUACGGAGGAUGCGAGCGUUAUCCGGAUUUAUUGGGUUUAAAGGGUGCGCAGGCGGCCUGUUAAGUCAGCGGUAAAAGCCCGGGGCUCAACCCCGGCGAGCCGUUGAAACUGGCGGGCUGGAGUUGGAGAGAA